RNAcentral lists this ribosomal RNA (397 nucleotides) under uncultured bacterium. RNAcentral describes it as "partial 16S ribosomal RNA". It matches the Rfam family "Bacterial small subunit ribosomal RNA", at positions 523 to 918 of the family's 1533-position model. The record is from RNAcentral.
CUACGUAGGUGACAAGCGUUAUCCGGAUUUACUGGGCGUAAAGGGCGUGUAGGCGGUCUUGCAAGUCAGAAGUGAAAUUCCUGAGCUCAACUCGGGCGCUGCUUCUGAAACUGCAGGACUUGAGUGCUGGAGGGGAUAGCGGAAUUCCUAGUGGAGCGGUAAAAUGCGCAGAUAUUAGGAAGAACACCGGUGGCGAAGGCGGCUAUCUGGACAGUAACUGACGCUGAGGCGCGAAAGCGUGGGGAGCAAACAGGAUUAGAUCCCCUGGUAGUCCACGCCGUAAACGAUGAAUACUAGGUGUAGGGGGUAUCGACUCCCUCUGUGCCGCAGUUAACACGAUAAGUAUUCCGCCUGGGGAGUACGGCCGCAAGGUUGAAACUCAAAUGAAUUGACGGGG